RNAcentral lists this ribosomal RNA (433 nucleotides) under uncultured bacterium. RNAcentral describes it as "partial 16S ribosomal RNA". It matches the Rfam family "Bacterial small subunit ribosomal RNA", at positions 29 to 507 of the family's 1533-position model. The record is from RNAcentral.
AACGAACGCUGGCGGCAUGCCUAACACAUGCAAGUCGAACGAGACCUUCGGGUCUAGUGGCGCACGGGUGCGUAACGCGUGGGAAUCUACCCUCAGGUUCGGAAUAACUCAGAGAAAUUUGAGCUAAUACCGGAUGAUGACGUAAGUCCAAAGAUUUAUCGCCUGAGGAUGAGCCCGCUUAGGAUUAGGUAGUUGGUGAGGUAAAGGCGCACCAAGCCGACGAUCCUUAGCUGGUCUGAGAGGAUGAUCAGCCACACUGGGACGGAGACACGGCCCAGACUCCUACGGGAGGCAGCAGUGGGGAAUAUUGGACAAUGGGCGAAAGCCUGAUCCAGCAAUGCCGCGUGAGUGAUGAAGGCCUUAGGGUUGUAAAGCUCUUUUACCCGGGAUGAUAAUGACAGUACCGGGAGAAUAAGCACCGGCUAACUCCGUG